This 497-nucleotide ribosomal RNA is filed under the name uncultured bacterium. RNAcentral describes it as "partial 16S ribosomal RNA". It matches the Rfam family "Bacterial small subunit ribosomal RNA", at positions 28 to 507 of the family's 1533-position model. The record is from RNAcentral.
GAUGAACGCUGGCGGCGUGCCUAAUACAUGCAAGUCGAGCGAACAGAUAAGGAGCUUGCUCCUUUGACGUUAGCGGCGGACGGGUGAGUAACACGUGGGUAACCUACCUAUAAGACUGGGAUAACUUCGGGAAACCGGAGCUAAUACCGGAUAACAUUUGGAACCGCAUGGUUCUAAAGUGAAAGAUGGUUUUGCUAUCACUUAUAGAUGGACCCGCGCCGUAUUAGCUAGUUGGUAAGGUAACGGCUUACCAAGGCGACGAUACGUAGCCGACCUGAGAGGGUGAUCGGCCACACUGGAACUGAGACACGGUCCAGACUCCUACGGGAGGCAGCAGUAGGGAAUCUUCCGCAAUGGGCGAAAGCCUGACGGAGCAACGCCGCGUGAGUGAUGAAGGGUUUCGGCUCGUAAAACUCUGUUAUUAGGGAAGAACAAAUGUGGAAGUAAAUGUGCACGUCUUGACGGUACCUAAUCAGAAAGCCACGGCUAACUACGUG